Molecule: ribosomal RNA, 593 nt
Filed under: uncultured bacterium
Lineage: Bacteria
Description: bacterial SSU rRNA
Rfam family: Bacterial small subunit ribosomal RNA (bases 1-525)
Source: RNAcentral
CCUACGGGAGGCAGCAGUGGGGAAUAUUGCACAAUGGGCGAAAGCCUGAUGCAGCGACGCCGCGUGAGGGAUGACGGCCUUCGGGUUGUAAACCUCUUUCAGUAGGGAAGAAGCGAAAGUGACGGUACCUGCAGAAGAAGCGCCGGCUAACUACGUGCCAGCAGCCGCGGUAAUACGUAGGGCGCAAGCGUUAUCCGGAAUUAUUGGGCGUAAAGAGCUCGUAGGCGGUUUGUCGCGUCUGCCGUGAAAGUCCGGGGCUCAACUCCGGAUCUGCGGUGGGUACGGGCAGACUAGAGUGAUGUAGGGGAGACUGGAAUUCCUGGUGUAGCGGUGAAAUGCGCAGAUAUCAGGAGGAACACCGAUGGCGAAGGCAGGUCUCUGGGCAUUAACUGACGCUGAGGAGCGAAAGCAUGGGGAGCGAACAGGAUUAGAUACCCUGGUAGUCCAUGCCGUAAACGUUGGGCACUAGGUGUGGGGGACAUUCCACGUUUUCCGCGCCGUAGCUAACGCAUUAAGUGCCCCGCCUGGGGNGACGCGCGAGACAACUAACUAGAUAGAGCGUGAGAGNGCGACGCGACGACGAGGGAGUUAGG